CCUACGGGAGGCAGCAGUGAGGAAUAUUGGUCAAUGGACGAGAGUCUGAACCAGCCAAGUAGCGUGAAGGAUGACUGCCCUAUGGGUUGUAAACUUCUUUUAUAUGGGAAUAAAAUGUUCCACGUGUGGGAUUUUGUAUGUACCAUAUGAAUAAGGAUCGGCUAACUUCGUGCCAGCAGCCGCGGUAAGACGGAGGAUCCGAGCGUUAUCCGGAUUGAUUGGGUUUAAAGGGAGCGUAGGUGGAUUGUUAAGUCAGUUGUGAAAGUUUGCGGCUCAACCGUAAAAUUGCAGUUGAAACUGGCAGUCUUGAGUACAGUAGAGGUGGGCGGAAUUCGUGGUGUAGCGGUGAAAUGCUUAGAUAUCACGAAGAACUCCGAUUGCGAAGGCAGCUCACUGGACUGCAACUGACACUGAGGCUCGAAAGUGUGGGUAUCAAACAGGAUUAGAUACCCUUGUAGUC
RNAcentral lists this ribosomal RNA (460 nucleotides) under uncultured bacterium. RNAcentral's name for it is "partial 16S ribosomal RNA". It matches the Rfam family "Bacterial small subunit ribosomal RNA", at positions 338 to 795 of the family's 1533-position model. The record is from RNAcentral.